Molecule: non-coding RNA, 2000 nt
Organism: Punica granatum (pomegranate)
Lineage: Eukaryota; Viridiplantae; Streptophyta; Magnoliopsida; Myrtales; Lythraceae
Source: RefSeq, a predicted model, not a curated record
GAUCCCCACUCGCAUUCUCUCAACUCCGCCAUUCAUUUCUCUUACCACCGUGAGAUCCCUCCGAUGACGACUCCGGUCAGCCACCGCACCACUUUAAUCAAGUCGGCCGUCGCCUCUCGGCUCCUCCUCCUAUCCCUUAUCAUCCUCUGGCGGUCACUCGUCAGCCCCUACGACACCUCCGCCGGCCUGAACCCCAGCUGCCUCGCGGACCCCUCACCGUCUCACCCCGUCGGAGCUCAGCCGCUGCUCCCCGGCCUCGGCUCCGCGGUCGAGCGCAGCAUCGUGUGGGACGGUGUCUACUACAUCCGGAUAGCACAGUGCGGGUACGAGUACGAGCAGACCUACGCCUUCUUCCCUCUCCUCCCAAUUUGCACCUCCCUUCUCUCUCGCACAGCUUUGUCCCCGCUGGUUCCGGUGAUUGGCUACAGGGCUGUUCUGGGCUUGUCGGGUUAUCUGAUUAACAAUGUCUCUUUCGUGCUCGCGGCACUCUAUUUCUACAGGCUCUCUCUCGCUAUCCUGAAGGACCCAGAGGCAUCGCUGCGGGCUUCGAUUUUGUUUUGCUUCAAUCCAGCGUCCAUAUUCUAUUCGUCAAUCUACUCAGAGAGCCUAUAUGCGCUACUUUCAGUUGGAGGAGUAUUCUACUUAUUAUCUGGUGCAAGUAAUGUUGCUGUCCUCUGGCUUGCUUUGUCGGGUCUUUCAAGGUCCAAUGGAAUGCUUAAUGCUGGCUACAUCUUUUUCCAAGCAAUGCACCAGGUUUACAACGCAUGGUUUAUCAAGAAGAAAUCUUUUUUGGUUAUGCAGGUUCUUGUUGUUGCAGCUCUACGUGGAAUAUGCAUAUUUGUUCCAUUUAUGGCUUUUCAAGCUUUUGGAUACUACAAUUUAUGUCUUGGACGGCUUCCCAACGAACUAAGGCCCUGGUGCAAUAGAAGACUACCUCUCAUGUACAAUUACAUUCAGAACCAAUAUUGGGGAGUCGGGUUCUUGAAGUACUUCCGGAUUAAACAGCUGCCCAACUUUCUCCUUGCAUCCCCAAUCUUAUCACUGGCUCUAUGCUCGAUCAUCAGUUAUGCAAGAUCGAGACCAAGACUCUUCCUUUCGCUAGGCUUUCGAGCCCUUGCUGAGGAAAAGUCUGCAGAGCCACUCUUUUCAAUGGAGGCGGUUCAAGAAGACGCCAUCCCUAGAAAUCCUGGAAACCGAGAUAUCAGGAGAAGGAAGCAAACAAGCAAAGAAGUGUUCCCAGUAGAACACGACUUCCCAGAAAUAAAACCUUACCUAUCACCCUUGGCCCUGCCAUUCAUUCUGCAUUUGUUGUUUAUGGCAGCUACAGCAUUCUUUGUCAUGCACGUACAGGUAGCCACUCGUUUCUUGUCUGCAAGCGCUCCUCUGUAUUGGUUUGCUGCUUAUUUGAUGGUGUCUCCUGGUGGUUCCGGUUAUACAAUUUGGGCUUACUCUGGGGCUUACAUUCUUCUAGGCAGCCUGCUCUUCUCGAACUUCUUUCCUUUCACCUAAUGGGAUGGAUAGAUUAGCCCAUACGAGUUUCGCACUGCAGUCAAUUUUGCACGGUCCUUCAAUGUAGAAUUGCCUUGUCAGGGUUGGGAUUCUCGAUCUCUCUUGGACUACAAAGAAGAUAUAUUUUGAUGAUCGCCAGCGUUUUUCGGUUUGACAGUUUGAGAAAACAAAAGAGGGAGGAUUACCAUUCACAUAUCAACUGCGCCCUAUCCAUUUUACUUUGCUGUUCUAGUUCAAUGGUCAUACAUGCACAAGCUUGCUUCACAUCAUCGUCGUCCUUAAAUGAGAGACAGACUUGAUUGCAAGACAAGGUGGCUGUUCCUGUUUUGUUCUGCUCAAGGGAGUUAGACACCAAAAGAUCUGUUAACCUCGUCAAGUUGCCCAAUUGGUCAUGCCCCGAUUCCUGAUGAUAUGAUGAGUGUAUUGUACAGUUACAUGGGUCGUAGUGCGAAUAUGUGUUGAUAAAUCGAAGGUGCUAUCAUUCACGGGUA